UGGGGGAUAUUGCACAAUGGGCGAAAGCCUGAUGCAGCGACGCCGCGUGGGGGAUGAAGUCUUUCGGGUUGUAAACCUCUUUCGCUAUCGAACAAGGCCCGCUUAGGGUGGGUUGAGGGUAGGUGGAGAAGAAGCGCCGGCUAACUACGUGCCAGCAGCCGCGGUAAUACGUAGGGCGCGAGCGUUGGCCGGAAUUAUUGGGCGUAAAGGGCUUGUAGGCGGCUUGUUGCGCCUGCUGUGAAAACGCGGGGCUUAACUUCGCGCGUGCAGUGGGUACGGGCAGGCUUGAGUGUGGUAGGGGUGACUGGAAUUCCAGGUGUAGCGGUGGAAUGCGCAGAUAUCUGGAGGAACACCGAUGGCGAAGGCAGGUCACUGGGCCAUUACUGACGCUGAGGAGCGAAAGCAUGGGUAGCGAACAGG
Molecule: ribosomal RNA, 420 nt
Filed under: bacterium
Lineage: Bacteria
Description: partial 16S ribosomal RNA
Rfam family: Bacterial small subunit ribosomal RNA
Source: RNAcentral